GUGGGGAAUAUUGGGCAAUGGGGGAAACCCUGACCCAGCGACGCCGCGUGAGGGAAGACGGCCUUCGGGUUGUAAACCUCUUUUGUACGGGAAGAAGGAAGUGACGGUACUGUACGAAUAAGUCCCGGCUAACUACGUGCCAGCAGCCGCGGUAAUACGUAGGGGACGAGCGUUGUCCGGAAUUACUGGGCGUAAAGGGCGCGCAGGCUGUGCUGCAAGUCAGCUGUGAAAUGUCUGGGCUUAACCCGGGCAUGCGGUUGAGACUGCAGUGCUGGAGUGCUGUAGAGGCAAGUGGAAUUCCCAGUGUAGCGGUGAAAUGCGUAGAUAUUGGGAAGAACACCAGUGGCGAAGGCGACUUUCUGGACGAUGUCUGACGCUGAGGCGCGAAAGCUAGGGGAGCGAACGGGAUUAGAUACCCCUGUAGUCC
Molecule: ribosomal RNA, 427 nt
Filed under: uncultured bacterium
Lineage: Bacteria
Description: partial 16S ribosomal RNA
Rfam family: Bacterial small subunit ribosomal RNA
Source: RNAcentral